UAAUGGUUUUGCAACAUUAGAUGCACAAUAUAUUUUGAAGCACCAAGUAUGCUUGAAAUUGAACAUUUUUAUAAAGAUAAUAAAAGUUAAUGACUACCCAUGAUCUAUGAUCUGACAAUACAUCUGUUCUUUCUCAUUUUGCGAUGAUAAAAUACCCACCCUAGCUUGUUGUGGCACAGUGAGAGAGAAGAAAUACAGUCCUAUUAAUCACUCUUAAGUAUCAGCUUAUUAAGUUAUAGUUUCUCAACAGGCUUGUCAUACAUGACUAUUAAUAGGCUGCAGGUGUUUCUCUAAAAGUCUUUUUAUAAUGCAGUUAUGUCAUUAAAAGACAGCAUGGAAUAACAGAAACCCUACUGGACUAAGAAUCAGAAAGUCUAAGUUUUAAAUUCUCAUUUGGUUAACAAGUAUCCCGGAAACCUUGCACAAGUCACCACCUCUCCGGGUCUCCAAUUUUCUCACCUGUAAAAUGAAGGGACUAAUUAUAAAUUGAAGAAAUAAGAAUGUGCCAAUUUACACCAGACCAGUAAGCAGGUUACAAAAACUCAGUACCUAAGACUUUUACCAAGGACAUUCUAACAGAAAUCUGCUCACAUUAAAAUAGCUUAAAACAAAUCAUAACAUUGGAAUUUCUGUUGCUAUUGUUAACCUUAAAAGUGAAUUUUAUUGCCUAAGAACUGUGGAAGUGCAGGAGAACAGAGAAACAUGUUUCACAUGAAAAAAUCUUGACUACUGAUACACACUGAUGUACCUUACAUUGUGGUAAAAAUAACCAAAUUUUUAUCUAUAUUUUUUAUAGACGGGGGUCUAUGUUGCCCAAGCUGGUCUCGAACUCCUGGCCUUCAGCAAUCCUCCUCCCUUGGUCUCCCAAAAUGCCAGGAUUACAGGCGUGAGCCACUGCACCUGGCCUCGUAUUUUCAUUAUUAGCUAAGCGCCUAUUCAUAAAGAAAGUUAUUACACACUCUCCAAUUGACAAAAGGGUUGCACCCCAAAAGCUUGUAAGUCUAAGUUUUGGAAACAUUAUAAGUGAAGCUAAGUUCCUAGUUCAGCUCACAAGAGCAUAAAUGAUCCUUGACAUCGCUGAACUAUACAAUAUAUUAUAAUAGCAAGGGCUCAAGUGCUGAGUCCUGUGAAUGGGGCUUGUGUCAUAAAGAAGAUGAGUUUCCUCCCCUGUUCUUGGGUAGGAGACUGGAGGUAGGCAAUGAUUAAAAUAAUUUACGUUCAUCACACAGCUUUGGCUCCCUUAAUAACUUCUUACACUCUGGUAGGGCAUUUAGCCCUAACUGUGCUGCUGUCCCACUACCAAAGGGUCCCUCCUUCCAACAUCCCUUUCUUGAGCCUUCAAGUAGUAAUUCUAUGACCACAGAGCAAUUGAUGGACAUUUCAACAAAUAACCCAGACAAUAUUAUCCCUCCUAGACUAUAAGCAGUUUUUAGAGAGGCUACCUGUUAUUUAUAAAAGCAACAAUAUUAGAAAUCUAAAUGUUAAUUUUAGAGACAUGGUCAAGUAAAUUACAAUGCAUCCAUACAACAGAACAUUAUGCCACCAUUCCACAAAAUGUUUACAAACAAGCCAGGCACAGUAGCAUGCAGCUGCAGUCCCAACCACUAGGAAGGCUGACGUGGGAGGAUCGCUUGAGCCCAGGAGUUCGAGUCCAGUCUGGGCAACAUAUAGAGAGACCUCCAUCUCUAGAUAAAGCAUUUUUUUAAUUAAAAAAGUUUUAAUGACAUGAAAAAUGUUGAAAACAAAAUGCUAAGUAAAUAAAGAAGAUACUAAGUGGUAUAUUCUUUAUGAACUCAACUGUGUAAAAAAUGAAUUGCUAUAGAAGAAAAAUAACACAAUUGUUGGGUAGUAGAAUUAUAAUUUAUUGCUUUUUACCAGUUAGUACACUAAUCUGCGCUUUGCAGAUGUUCCCGUAUUAAGUACCCCUUUUGUUAUUUAAAAAAGUUAAGGGAGAGAAGUCAUAAAUCUCUAAUUGGUAGAAUUAUAGAGAGCUAAAAACAGUGCUAAUUAUCAGGCAAUGUGGAAACAACUUUGUGGGCAAGAGAGCAUUCCUUUUUUUUUUUUUUUAACUGUUUACAAAGAGUUUAAACUUGUUUUAAAUUAAACACAUUAAACAAAAUUGUAAGUUUUGUGAUUAUGAAAAUACUGUUUAUCACUACAUAAAAUACUGUUUAUGGCACUUUAUAGAUUCAAAAAACCUAUUAAUGAUACUUCUUUUCUGGAUUAAAGAUAGUGAAUGUUUAUAUAUAUAUAAAAAAUACAGAAAAUAACACAGGUAUAUGAUUUAGAAAACAGGCGAAAAAAGUUAUGAAGUGGGAAAAGUCCAUCCCACUAUACAACUCAUUCCCAGAUACAGCAAGCCUCUUAUUCACCUCCUGAGAAAUUUUUGUUGCCCAUAAUCCCAUAUAUAUUUUAUUUCACGUCAUUCUCCUAUAUACUUUAUUUCACUCAUACCUUAGAAACAUUUACAUAUCAGUAUGUAUUGAUCCAUUUCAUUCUUUGAACAUACUAAUUAGUAUUCUACUCUAUGAUUGUGACACAUUAUUAGUCAGCCCCCUACCGAUAGACACUGAAGUUAUUCUGUUUUCCUCUAUCAUAAACAAGGCUUCAGUAUUAUUGGACAAAUAUCCUUAUAUACAUGAACAAGUGGAUCCCUAAGAUAUAAAUUCUUAUAAUUUUUGUGUCAAAGACUCUGCGU
RNAcentral lists this long non-coding RNA (2698 nucleotides) under Macaca fascicularis (crab-eating macaque). RNAcentral describes it as "lncRNA (ENSMFAG00000052864.1)". Lineage: Eukaryota; Metazoa; Chordata; Mammalia; Primates; Cercopithecidae. The record is from RNAcentral.